UACGUAGGGUGCGAGCGUUAAUCGGAAUUACUGGGCGUAAAGCGUGCGCAGGCGGCGCGUUAAGACAGGUGUGAAAUCCCCGGGCUUAACCUGGGAAUUGCGUUGGAGACUGCAAGGCUGGAGUCUGGCAGAGGGGGGUAGAAUUCCACGUGUAGCAGUGAAAUGCGUAGAGAUGUGGAGGAACACCGAUGGCGAAGGCAGCCCCCUGGGUCAAGACUGACGCUCAUGCACGAAAGCGUGGGGAGCAAACAGG
This 253-nucleotide ribosomal RNA is filed under the name uncultured bacterium. Its description in RNAcentral is "partial 16S ribosomal RNA". It matches the Rfam family "Bacterial small subunit ribosomal RNA", at positions 524 to 776 of the family's 1533-position model. The record is from RNAcentral.